Molecule: ribosomal RNA, 253 nt
Filed under: uncultured bacterium
Lineage: Bacteria
Description: partial 16S ribosomal RNA
Rfam family: Bacterial small subunit ribosomal RNA
Source: RNAcentral
UACAGAGGUCUCAAGCGUUGUUCGGAUUCAUUGGGCGUAAAGGGUGCGUAGGUGGCGAGGCAAGUCGGAUGUGAAAUCCCGGGGCUCAACCCCGGAACUGCAUUCGAUACUGCCUUGCUAGAGUACUGGAGAGGAGAUUGGAAUUUACGGUGUAGCAGUGAAAUGCGUAGAUAUCGUAAGGAAGACCAGUGGCGAAGGCGGAUCUCUGGACAGUUACUGACACUGAGGCACGAAGGCCAGGGGAGCAAACGGG